GCUAAUUCUCUGAAGCAUGUUAUUAAUUUCUAAGGAGCUCAAUCUUAUUUAAAGUUGACAAUGUCCUAGUUAUUGUGCCCGGACCUUGUGUUUUCUCAUGAUUUCAAGCUUAAAUGAACUAUUGAUUAAUCUUAGGAGGAGGUGGACAUUCUAGUUACCGAAGUUUCCAGCUUCCUGGAAGUUCCCUACAGCUACAGACCUGCUGUGGCCAAGCUGGAAACUGGCCGUGUAGCCCCGCCUGGCUCCCAGGUGGAGGAGGCACAUUUUCUAUCUUGACUUCCCAGCCUCCAAGGGAGCAUCAAAUGUCAGUGCUAGGAGAGCUUGAAAAGAUUCUCUAGUCAAAGCCCCCCAUCUUUUUGUUCAGAGGAAGAAACAGGUCUGAGAGGGGGGAAGGGAAGUGACAAGUGCCUGAAGUUCCCGGAGUGAGCAAAGCCAUCCAAGUCCCUAACUCAGGCCUUUCCCCCCAAAUUUGUGCUCAGUUAUCUGGUAAUAGUUUAUCUCAUCCUCUGGUGAGCAAAGACUUGGACACAGCAGAGAGAAAAUCAGUGAAGGAGUGAGUGAAUGAAUGAGUGUGUGAGUAAAUGUAAACAAACAAACAAACACAGUGCUAAGUGCUGCAGGUAUAUCAUGGCCAAUCUGACGGCCCCUGCUCUCAUUGUGCUCACAUUCUGAGGGGAAGAAAGGGCUAACAGAGAUUCGUGUUUUCAAUGCCUUAGGUAGGGAUGGGGGGGGGGGCAGGUCCUGAGAAGUUUUGUCUUUUGGGGGGAUGGCCAAGAAGCCAAUCUUGGCUCACAGAGGAAAAACCUGAUUAAGUUUCUGAGCUUCCCAGGAGUGGAAUGAACUGCUUCCAGGACUUCUUGGAGGGGCCCCUGACCACUGGCUCUGUCAGGGAGGACCUUCUAGUCAAGUCCAGGCCGGAUUAGUGGCCGCUGAUGUCUCUCCCAUCCUGCCCUUCUCCCGUGAUUCUAAGGCGGCAGAAGCCUGGCUUCGAGACCCGCAGAAUUCGUGACUGGAUGCACACUUGAGAGGGGUAGAGGUGAAGCUCCACAGCCUUUUCCAUAGUGGCCGGAAACUGGAAACGGGUGGGUGCCCAUCAGUUGGAGAACAGCUGAACAAGUUCUGGUAUAUGAACGUUAGGGAAUAUUAUUCUUCUGUAAGAAAUGAGCAGCAGGAGGGUCUCAGAGAGGCCUGGGGAGACUGACGGGAGCCGAUGAGCAGCAGGAGGGUCUCAGAGAGGCCUGGGGAGACUGACGGGAGCCGAUGAGCAGCAGGAGGGUCUCAGAGAGGCCUGGGGAGACUGUCGGGAGCCGAUGAGCAGCAGGAGGGUCUCAGAGAGGCCUGGGGAGACUGACGGGAGCCGAUGAGCAGCAGGAGGGUCUCAGAGAGGCCUGGGGAGACUGACGGGAGCCGAUGAGCAGCAGGAGGGUCCUCAGAGAGGCCUGGGGAGACUGUCGGGAGCCGAUGAGCAGCAGGAGGGUCUCAGAGAGGCCUGGGGAGACUGACGGGAGCCGAUGAGCAGCAGGAGGGUCUCAGAGAGGCCUGGGGAGACUGACGGGAGCCGAUGAGCAGCAGGAGGGUCUCGGAGAGGCCUGGGGAGACUGACGGGAGCCGAUGAGCAGCAGGAGGGUCUCAGAGAGGCCUGGGGAGACUGACGGGAGCCGAUGCUGAGGGAAACGAGCAGGAGAUCACUGCACACGGCAACAACAAGACUAUACAGUGAUCAGACCCGAUGGACGCGGCUCUUGUCAAUGAUGAGAUACUGAGGCCAGCUGCCCCCAGAAGAGGCCUGUGGGAGCUGAGGGGCGAUCACAACAGCGUUCUCGCGCUUCUUGCUGCUUGCAUUUUGUUUCUCUUUUUUCCCCUUGUGCAGCGCGAUAAUCGUAUAAACAUAGAUACAUACAUUGGGUUUAACAUAUAGGUCUGCCAUGUUCAACAUAUACUGGACUACUUGCCAUCUGGGGGAGGGGGUGGGCAAAGGGGGGGCAACAGGAGCAGGUGCUGGCGAGAACAUUCGAGAAGCCCUUUGCAAACCUUCAGGCCACAGCUAAAUGCGACUUGCUGCUGUCUGGCUGCGGGGGAGGGGGCGUCCCUGCAGCGCAUCCGGCCGCGGGGAGCCCCGGCGUCGGCCGCGGAACUAGGCCGGAGGUGAGCGCUGAGAGCGCGUUUGAGCACGCGUGGAGGCGGAAGGGAGCAUUCUGGGGCCUCGGUUUCCCCAUCUGUAAAAUGGGAGCGGGGAAGGAGCGCGGUCGCAGCAGGCGAACUUCCGAGAUGACGUCCUGCCAGAGUUGGAGAAGCAGAGGCCCGCCCGCAGCCCUUCCCUCCAUCCAGGGCACGAGCCCCCUUCGGAGACUACGUUGCCCAGAAGCCUCUCGCGCGGCCGGGCGGAAGACGCCGCCGGUUGUGGGGGAACCGAGCACGUGCAGAGGGGCGGGGAGGAAAACAGGGCAGCGGCCUCCGAUUGGCGGACCGCACGUGAACGCUCGAGGCGGCGCAUGCUCAGAGCCGCCGUGGGCUUUCUCCUCGUCGCCUCUCCGAGCUACGCCACCGGGGCCUCUGCGGGACGCGGGAGGCGACUACGGGCCCGGAGCCCGGCCCGUGGGAAGCCCGGCGCCGCCGGGGCCCGCGGGAAAUGGAGCCCGCCGAGGGCUCCCGAACGCGGAGGUCCGGAAGAACGCCCGCACGUGCGCAGUGCCGCGGAGGGGCUGGCGUAGCGCGCGCAGCCCCGCCCUCCGAAGUAGCGGCGACUCUUCCAGAAAGGAGGAAACAUUGACUUCCUGGCCAAAGUCUGCAGCUGCUCCC
Sarcophilus harrisii (Tasmanian devil) is the source of this 2799-nucleotide long non-coding RNA. NCBI's taxonomy places the organism in Eukaryota, Metazoa, Chordata, Mammalia, Dasyuromorphia, Dasyuridae. The record is from Ensembl.